Homo sapiens (human) is the source of this 2728-nucleotide long non-coding RNA. RefSeq lists it as uncharacterized. The record is from RefSeq and is a predicted model, not a curated record. The transcript is spliced from 4 exons. Lineage: Eukaryota; Metazoa; Chordata; Mammalia; Primates; Hominidae.
CUUGCAGCUCUUUCUGCUAUAACCCACUGUUGUUAUACUGGAGGCGUGUUCAAGUGGUGGUAGGAUGCAAAGGAAGCUUUGUACAAUCUAUAGUCCCAGGGUUUUAGUGGACCUCUGUCUUGGGGUUUGGCCUUCUCGAGUGUUUCUGCUCCUUCCUUUAGAAUAUUGCUCUUCCCAGCUCACCUCCUGCUCCAUUCCUUGACUACAGUAUUCUAAAUCUAUUACCUUGAUGCCCUGUCCCUUGUUGAUUAUUGUUUUCUUUUUCUUUAGGGGAAACGGGAAGGCUGGAACCAUGUCCAGCUGGGAUAAGGCUUCAGUCUCAUCCUGUGAUGAAGAAAUUUUCCCUGUAGAACAGGCCUUUGUUAUGGAGAAAAAUUAGGUGAGGUUACACAAUGCCUACUUUUCCUUUUCUUAUGCCAGAGCCAUGAGGGGGUUUUUCUUGGAUCCUCAGCCUGAAGAACCUGGUAGGGAUCAUGGAGGGAACUUGUAUGAAAGUACAAGGUCUCUCUGUGAUUGUCCUCAUUUUCACAGUAGUCCACACUCAGCCUCCAGCAACUCUCCAGAUAACUAGCAAGGCAAGGAUGAGUAGCUCCUGCCCAAGGGAAGCAGGUUUCAGCUGUAUCUCACUGAAUGUCCCUGUCCCUCUAGAUUUCAAGGUGAUAGUUUGGCCCGAAACCUCAGUUCUUUGAUGGGUCCAAGAAAAGUCAUUGAUUAUCGGGUUGUUCCAUUUUCUCUUGUUGUAAGGACAGGGGUGAUGAACUCCAAGCUCUUUAACAUGUUGGAGCUGAAACUGGAAGUGGAACAACUGGUUUCAUAAUGUUUGGCACAUUUUAUGACUUUGUUUCACUUUUCCUAGAAUUGCAGGUUUCCCAGCAUCAGUUAACUGUCCUAGCAUUUCUUUUCAAAUGAACUACAAUCUGGAAAUAGCGAUGCUUCACAUAUCAACUUAGAAACAUAUUUUUUUCCAAAAAGUAUCAAAGUUGUCAAAAAAAAUUAAGCUGUCUCAACCAUCCUAAGAACUGACAAGAAAAAGAGAAUUUUAAUUUUAUUUCUUAUGGAUCAAAUAUUCUAGAGUAAAUGCUUGAAAGAAUGGUGUUCAGUUAAGAAAAUCAAUUCCAUUGUAGCAUUGUGAAUUCUAGGAGGCAUUGUCAUUCUUUCAACAUUCUACAGGAACAUGAGGCUUCUACUUGACUGAAAUAAGGGUUUGAACUCUGGUUUGGGGUUUUAGUUCUCGUUUCUUUAUUUUAUCCACCUCAUCUCCAACUUUUUCAUCCUAGUUCAUUCUCUUCUGCAGCUUUGUGUUCCAUUUUUAUAUCUUCUUUCAAGUUAUGAAAGAUACCAGUCCUUUGAAAUGUUCCCUUAAGCCUUGCUUAUAGCCUUUUUAGGAGUAUGUUCUUAUUAAGUUUUCCAGAUGCUCUUUCCAUUUCCUUUUGUUACACCGUUUUUGUUUUUCAUAUUCUCUUCAUUGCUUUCUUCAUUUUUGCUGCUAGUUUCUUUACUGAUCUUCAAAGAAGGCAGGAUUUGUUCAGACAGAGAAGCCACUUAUCGCCACAGAGGAUUUUGGAUCCUUUUGGCCCUGCCUUCUGUCUGCCUAUAGAAUGGAAGAACUGUUUCUUCAGAUCUCAACUCUGAAAACAUGUCUGAGGUCAGACUGCCUAGAUCUGAAUGCUAGCUGCGAUAGCAUGUUCUAGUAGUGCUGAAGUUUGAAACUGAAUGCUAUGCUCAAAGUCAAGUAAAAUGAAAGUUCUGCUUUUAAAGGGGGAAGAAACUUACAGGAGACAAAUGGGGAAAGCAAACGAUUCUAAGUGGGAUAGGUGUAGAACAUCAUAGCUAUGUAUGGGUUCAAGAUUAUAUGAGUGGAAUAUAUUAUCAUGGAUUCUUCUUCUUUUUUUUUUUUUUUUUUUUUUUUUUUUUUGAGACGGAGUCUCGCUCUGUCGCCCAGGCUGGAGUGCAGUGGUGCAAUCUCGGUUCACUGCAACCUCUGCCGCCUGGGUUCAAGCUAUUCUCCUGCCUCAGCCUCCUGAGUAGCUGAGACUACAGGUGCGCGCCACCAUGCCCAGCUAAUUUUUUUUUUAUUUUUAGUAGAGAUGAACUUUCACCAUGUUGGCCAGGAUGGUCUCGAUCUCUUGACCUCAUGAUCUGCCUGCCUCAGCCUCCCAAAGUGCUGGGAUUAUAGGCAUGAGCCACCGUGCCCGGCCGAUUCUCCCUCUCUUCCUGAGAACAAAAAGGAUUUAUGAAGGAAAAAGCAGCUAAUCAAAGAAGUUCUGAGUUUAAAUUCUGUUUUGUCCACUUACUAGCCAUUUGGCCUUGGGCAAGUCACUUUACUGGACCUCAGUUUCCUUGUAUGUGAAAGGUUUUGGUAAAAAUCAUAUUAGUUAAAGAAUGUAAAGAGUUUUAUAAAUUACAAAGUGAUUAAAAAAAGUAAAAUGUAUUGUUGUUUAGGAACAAUGAAAAAAAAAGAAACCUUGACAUUUUUUCUUCAAGUUCUUGCCUAAAAUGUUUAUUUGUUUGGCCCUUUUUAGAUUUAACAAAUUCUAUGUGUCUAAAUAUCAGUGUAGACCCCUUCUUACCCUACUGGAUUUAUAAGGUACUAAAAGUAGAUAUGCAUCUCUUCUGUCUUGGUUCGCUCUAAAAUGGGAUGUUUGCAAACCUCUUGGUUUUUCUUUUUUAAUAUGGAUGAAGCUUAUAUUAAUUUUUGGCUUGGUAUUAAAUUUUGUUUGGAAUAUUA